UUGAAUUGUGAAGAUCCGUUCUU
RNAcentral lists this non-coding RNA (23 nucleotides) under Arabidopsis thaliana (thale cress). The record is from RNAcentral. Lineage: Eukaryota; Viridiplantae; Streptophyta; Magnoliopsida; Brassicales; Brassicaceae.